Molecule: ribosomal RNA, 910 nt
Filed under: uncultured archaeon
Lineage: Archaea
Description: bacterial SSU rRNA
Rfam family: Archaeal small subunit ribosomal RNA
Source: RNAcentral
UUCGCCGGGCCGGUUUGUUUUCAAAUAGGAUAAACCCAGCGAGUUCAAGGUACAAAUCGGGGCAUUUGGGUUUCAUAACAGGUAGUUCAACAUGCCCCAGGGGGAACUGGGAUAAACUCUGGGGAAACUGGAGGGUAAAACCGCGAAUUGGGCCAAGAUUUUUGGGAAUGAUUAAGGGUCUCAAAUUUACCAUGGCCCCCGUGGUUGGGACUGGCGGCCGGAUCAGGCUUGUUGGUGAGGGUAAAUGGCCCCCCCAAACCCUAAAACCGGGUACGGGCUCUGGAGAAGGAGAAGCCCGGGAGAUGGGCCAUUGAGGACAAGGGCCCCAGCCCUUAAUGGGGCGCAGCAGGCGCGAACCUUUGCAAAUAAAGCGAAAGCUUUGACCAGGGGUUAUUUUGGAGUGAUUUCCGCUAAAGGGAAGUCUUUUUGGCCCCCUCUAAAAAAUGGGUGCAGAAAUAAGGGGGUGGGGCAAGCCUGGGUGUCAGCCCGCCGCGGUAAAUACCAGCACCCCCGAGUGGUUCGGGACGGAUUAUUUGGGCCUUAAAAGCAUCCCGUAACCGGGUUCUACAAAGUCUUCCGUUAAAUUCCAACUGCUUUAACAGUUGGGCCGCAGAGGAUACUAUAGAGCUAGGAGGCGGGAGAGGCAAGCGGUACUUAGUGGGUAGGGGUAAAAUCCGUUGAUCCCACUGAAGACCACCAAUGGCGAAAGGCGGCUUGCCAGAACGCGCUCGACGGUGAGGGAUGAAAGCUGGGGGAACAAACCGGAUUAGAUACCCGGGUAGUCCCAGCUGUAAACGAUGCAGACUCGGUGAUGAAUAGGCUUCGUGCCUAUUCAGUGCCGCAGGGGAGCCGUUAAGUCUGCCGCCUGGGGAGUACGGUCGCAAGACUGAAACUUAAAGGAAUUGGCGGG